CCCGUAACUGACGCUGAGGAGCGAAAGCUUGGGGAGCGAACAGGAUUAGAUACCCUGGUAGUCCACGCCGUAAACGGUGGGUGCUAGUUGUGGGCCACAUUCCACGUGGUCCGUGACGAAGUUAACACAUUAAGCACCCCGCCUGGGGAGUACGGUCGCAAGACUAAAACUCAAAGGAAUUGACGGGGGCCCGCACAAGCGGCGGAGCAUGCGGAUUAAUUCGAUGCAACGCGAAGAACCUUACCAAGGCUUGACAUAUAGAGGAAACGUGCAGAAAUGUACGCCCCGCAAGGUCUCUAUACAGGUGGUGCAUGGUUGUCGUCAGCUCGUGUCGUGAGAUGUUGGGUUAAGUCCCGCAACGAGCGCAACCCUCGUCCUAUGUUGCCAGCACGUAAAGGUGGGAACUCAUGGGAGACUGCCGGGGUCAACUCGGAGGAAGGUGGGGAUGACGUCAAAUCAUCAUGCCCCUUAUGUCUUGGGCUUCACGCAUGCUACAAUGGCCAGUACAAAGGGCUGCAAUACCGUAAGGUGGAGCGAAUCCCAAAAAGCUGGUCUCAGUUCGGAUUGAGGUCUGCAACUCGACCUCAUGAAGUCGGAGUCGCUAGUAAUCGCAGAUCAGCAACGCUGCGGUGAAUACGUUCCCGGGCCUUGUACACACCGCCCGUCAAGUCACGAAAGUCGGUAACACCCGAAGCCGGUGGCCCUAACCGUAAGGAAG
This 718-nucleotide ribosomal RNA is filed under the name uncultured Actinomycetes bacterium. Its description in RNAcentral is "bacterial SSU rRNA". It matches the Rfam family "Bacterial small subunit ribosomal RNA", at positions 733 to 1449 of the family's 1533-position model. The record is from RNAcentral. Lineage: Bacteria; Bacillati; Actinomycetota; Actinomycetes.